UUUGGCGCCGGUUAACAUUUCAAUACCCAACUCCGUCAGAUCCGGAAGGAAGCAGCGGUAAGUAUCUGAAUUGUGUAACUGUGCGCCUUUAUU
This 93-nucleotide signal recognition particle RNA is filed under the name Ignavibacterium sp. RNAcentral describes it as "Bacterial small signal recognition particle RNA". It matches the Rfam family "Bacterial small signal recognition particle RNA". Rfam says of the family: The signal recognition particle (SRP) is a universally conserved ribonucleoprotein involved in the co-translational targeting of proteins to membranes. Archaeal SRP consists of a 7S RNA and homologues of the eukaryotic SRP19 and SRP54 proteins. In most bacteria, the SRP consists of a 4.5S RNA and the Ffh protein (a homologue of the eukaryotic SRP54 protein). Lineage: Bacteria; Pseudomonadati; Ignavibacteriota; Ignavibacteria; Ignavibacteriales; Ignavibacteriaceae. The record is from Rfam by way of RNAcentral.